GACUCCUGCUCAAUGCUUUUGCCUCUCGCCCAAUUCGCUGGGUAUAAAUCUUCCUAUUCUUCAGUUGAGAGAACCACAAAGCUUUUGAUCAUUUCCCCUUUAAGUUAGAGCCAUUGAGCUUAUUGAAGAGUAAGUAAUUAAACUUUGAGAUUGUGCUCAUGGCUCUAAUGGGUAGCUCCCUGAGAAGAAUGUUGGUCCCUGUGCACAUUUCCAAGCUGCAACAAGUAAAAACUCUGAUAGUAGAUUCUAUACCAACCAGGCCAAAGACCAAGGAAGGACGCGGCGGACAAAUCAACUCCAAGCCUAAAGCUUCAACAACGAAUGCCACUGACCAGGAGGUUGCUUUUAGGACUGAUACCUUGGAUGUUGGCAACAACGCUGACAAGAUUAGUAUAACAAAUGUUGAUGCUGCUGUUACUGUUAAAACAGCUGAAAACAACUGAUGUCUAGUACUGUUUCGUAUGGGCACAUGGCUUUGGCUAUAUCUUAGGACUCAAAUCUUGUCUUAACUUUAUAAUAGGCCCUGUAAAAUUGAAGUUCUCGUAUUUUCAAUUCAACAAGAGAUUUGGUUUCUAUUUGACCA
Molecule: non-coding RNA, 583 nt
Organism: Theobroma cacao (cacao)
Lineage: Eukaryota; Viridiplantae; Streptophyta; Magnoliopsida; Malvales; Malvaceae
Source: RefSeq, a predicted model, not a curated record